This 158-nucleotide ribosomal RNA is filed under the name Filobasidium uniguttulatum. RNAcentral describes it as "5.8S ribosomal RNA". It matches the Rfam family "5.8S ribosomal RNA". From Rfam's summary of the family: 5.8S ribosomal RNA (5.8S rRNA) is a component of the large subunit of the eukaryotic ribosome. It is transcribed by RNA polymerase I as part of the 45S precursor that also contains 18S and 28S rRNA. Functionally, it is thought that 5.8S rRNA may be involved in ribosome translocation. Lineage: Eukaryota; Fungi; Basidiomycota; Tremellomycetes; Filobasidiales; Filobasidiaceae. The record is from RNAcentral. RNAcentral also lists the same sequence under 3 other names.
AAACUUUCAACAACGGAUCUCUUGGCUCUCGCAUCGAUGAAGAACGCAGCGAAAUGCGAUAAGUAAUGUGAAUUGCAGAAUUCAGUGAAUCAUCGAAUCUUUGAACGCACCUUGCGCUCCUUGGUAUUCCGAGGAGCAUGCCUGUUUGAGUGUCAUGA